This 441-nucleotide ribosomal RNA is filed under the name uncultured bacterium. Its description in RNAcentral is "bacterial SSU rRNA". It matches the Rfam family "Bacterial small subunit ribosomal RNA", at positions 338 to 795 of the family's 1533-position model. The record is from RNAcentral.
CCUANGGGUGGCAGCAGUGGGGAAUAUUGGACAAUGGGCGCAAGCCUGAUCCAGCCAUGCCGCGUGAGUGAAGAAGGCCUUCGGGUUGUAAAGCUCUUUUGGCGGGGACGAUAAUGACGGUACCCGCAGAAUAAGCUCCGGCUAACUUCGUGCCAGCAGCCGCGGUAAUACGAAGGGAGCUAGCGUUGUUCGGAAUCACUGGGCGUAAAGCGCACGUAGGCGGACUUGUUAGUCGAGGGUGAAAUCCUUGAGGCUCAACCUCAGAACUGCCUUCGAUACUGCAAGUCUUGAGUCCGGGAGAGGUGAGUGGAAUGCCUAGUGUAGAUGUGAAAUUCGUAGAUAUUAGGAAGAACACCAGUGGCGAAGGCGGCUCACUGGCCCGGUACUGACGCUGAGGUGCGAAAGCGUGGGGAGCAAACAGGAUUAGAUACCCGGNUAGUC